GGCCUGGUAGUGUAACGGUAGCACGCCCGCUUUCAAUUAGAAGGCGUCGACUUAUAAAGCGGAGAUUCCCUGUUCGAUUCGGGGUCAAGCCA
Molecule: non-coding RNA, 92 nt
Organism: Mycena galericulata
Lineage: Eukaryota; Fungi; Basidiomycota; Agaricomycetes; Agaricales; Mycenaceae
Source: the annotation of a GenBank genome assembly